UACGUAGGUGGCAAGCGUUGUCCGGAUUUACUGGGCGUAAAGAGCGCGCAGGCGGUCGUUCAAGUCGCGUGUGAAAGCCCCCGGCUCAACUGGGGAGGGUCACGCGAUACUGAUCGACUCGAAGGCAGGAGAGGGAAGUGGAAUUCCCGGUGUAGUGGUGAAAUGCGUAGAUAUCGGGAGGAACACCAGUGGCGAAAGCGGCUCUCUGGGACGGUACUGACGCUGAGGCGCGAAAGCGUGGGGAGCAAACGGG
This 253-nucleotide ribosomal RNA is filed under the name uncultured bacterium. RNAcentral describes it as "partial 16S ribosomal RNA". It matches the Rfam family "Bacterial small subunit ribosomal RNA", at positions 524 to 776 of the family's 1533-position model. The record is from RNAcentral.